GUAAAGCACUUUCAGUUGUGAGGAAGGUGGUGUCGUUAAUAGCGGCAUCAUUUGACGUUAGCAACAGAAGAAGCACCGGCUAACUCCGUGCCAGCAGCCGCGGUAAUACGGAGGGUGCGAGCGUUAAUCGGAAUUACUGGGCGUAAAGACGCAUGCAGGUGGUUUGUUAAGUUCAGAUGUGAAAGACCCGGGGCGUCAACCUCGGAACUAGGCAUUUGAAACUAGGCAGACUAGAGUACUGUAGAGGGGGUAGGAAGUUUCAGGUGUAGCGGUGAAAUAGCGUAGAGAUCUGAAGGAAUACCGGUGGCGAAGGCGGCCCCCUCGGACAGAUACUGACACUCAGAUGCGAAAGCGUGGGGAGCAAACAGGAUUAGAUACCCUGGUAG
RNAcentral lists this ribosomal RNA (386 nucleotides) under uncultured bacterium. RNAcentral describes it as "bacterial SSU rRNA". It matches the Rfam family "Bacterial small subunit ribosomal RNA", at positions 425 to 793 of the family's 1533-position model. The record is from RNAcentral.